AUGUCAAUGGAAGAGGCUAUACGUUUCCUGUGUUGUAAUUGCUAUUUCUUUUGUGAGCAGAAUAUGACUAAUGGGUCCUUGCGCGGUGCUUUGCUGGUAUGUCAAUGUACUGGGUUUUUUGUAUUUGGCGUAAACUUGUAUGCACUGGGCGCUUCGCUUGUACAUCGUGCUGGAAUAUGUGGGGUUUUACAUAUUUUUCUUCUUAAUCACCAUGCAGGCAUAAAUCUGUGGGCACACAUUGUGCCGGAAUGGGUGUUGUUGGUGAGAUUCAUAAGCAUCAAGCUACAAAAUUUGGCUUUGCCUGGUGCCGCAGCUGCUGUGCGGACUAUAAGAGAUGGCCCUACAUUCCAAUAUCGAUUGUGCUAA
Molecule: ribosomal RNA, 366 nt
Filed under: Triticum aestivum (bread wheat)
Lineage: Eukaryota; Viridiplantae; Streptophyta; Magnoliopsida; Poales; Poaceae
Description: partial small subunit ribosomal RNA
Source: RNAcentral